UACGUAGGGUCCGAGCGUUGUCCGGAAUUACUGGGCGUAAAGAGCUCGUAGGUGGUUUGUCGCGUUGUUCGUGAAAUCUCACGGCUUAACUGUGAGCGUGCGGGCGAUACGGGCAGACUAGAGUACUGCAGGGGAGACUGGAAUUCCUGGUGUAGCGGUGGAAUGCGCAGAUAUCAGGAGGAACACCGGUGGCGAAGGCGGGUCUCUGGGCAGUAACUGACGCUGAGGAGCGAAAGCGUGGGGAGCGAACAGG
This 253-nucleotide ribosomal RNA is filed under the name uncultured bacterium. RNAcentral describes it as "partial 16S ribosomal RNA". It matches the Rfam family "Bacterial small subunit ribosomal RNA", at positions 524 to 776 of the family's 1533-position model. The record is from RNAcentral.